ACUCAACGCGAAUUCUUUUAAAAAGGGUGAGUUAUAGUUGUAAAAGCGAGCCGUGUCCCAAGGGAGAGCGGAUACUUGACCAGCUAAUUAACCCUAAACUUGUUUUAAGGAGUUU
RNAcentral lists this small RNA (115 nucleotides) under bacterium. Its description in RNAcentral is "6S RNA". It matches the Rfam family "6S-Flavo RNA". The record is from RNAcentral. RNAcentral also lists the same sequence under 1 other name.